CGUAGGUGGCAAGCGUUGUCCGGAUUUAUUGGGCGUAAAGCGAGCGCAGGCGGAAGAAUAAGUCUGAUGUGAAAGCCCUCGGCUUAACCGAGGAACUGCAUCGGAAAACUGUUUUUCUUGAGUGCAGAAGAGGAGAGUGGAACUCCAUGUGUAGCGGUGGAAUGCGUAGAUAUAUGGAAGAACACCAGUGGCGAAGGCGACUCUCUGGUCUGCAAACUGACGCUGAGGCUCGAAAGCAUGGUAGCGACAGGAUU
RNAcentral lists this ribosomal RNA (254 nucleotides) under uncultured bacterium. RNAcentral describes it as "partial 16S ribosomal RNA". It matches the Rfam family "Bacterial small subunit ribosomal RNA", at positions 526 to 779 of the family's 1533-position model. The record is from RNAcentral.